Molecule: small nucleolar RNA, 140 nt
Organism: Tachyglossus aculeatus (Australian echidna)
Lineage: Eukaryota; Metazoa; Chordata; Mammalia; Monotremata; Tachyglossidae
Source: RefSeq, a predicted model, not a curated record
CCCCUCUCAGGAUGGCACCUGGGGAUUUUCCAGUAAUCUACCAGUCUCAGCUAUGGAAGGGGGAGAGGACAGCAGAGGCAUACCCAUUCCAUUCCCAGCUUGGGCAGUGGCUAGUGAGUGGAAGCCGAUUUGCUACAAGU